GGUUGAUCCUGCCAGUAGACAUAUGCUUGUCUCAAAGAUUAAGCCAUGCACGUGUAAGUAUAAACAACUUUGUACUUGUGAGACUGCGAAUGGCUCAUUAAACCAGUAAUAGUUUAUUUGAUGGUCCAAUUUCUACUUGGAUAACUGUGUGAAAACAGAGCUAAUACAUGCGAAAAGGGUCAUUGUGAGAGCAGUGAUUCGUAUUUAUUAGUUAGUAAACCUAUGGAAGGUGGCAGCAAUGCUGCUUUUAUCAAAUGGGUGAUUCAUAAUAACUUGUACGAAGCGUACGCC
RNAcentral lists this ribosomal RNA (291 nucleotides) under uncultured eukaryote. RNAcentral's name for it is "partial 18S ribosomal RNA". It matches the Rfam family "Eukaryotic small subunit ribosomal RNA", at positions 6 to 277 of the family's 1831-position model. The record is from RNAcentral.